Molecule: ribosomal RNA, 496 nt
Filed under: uncultured bacterium
Lineage: Bacteria
Description: bacterial SSU rRNA
Rfam family: Bacterial small subunit ribosomal RNA
Source: RNAcentral
GCGUGCAGGAAGACGGCCCUAUGGGUUGUAAACUGCUUUUAUACAGGAAGAAACACUCCCUCGUGAGGGAGCUUGACGGUACUGUAAGAAUAAGGACCGGCUAACUCCGUGCCAGCAGCCGCGGUAAUACGGAGGGUCCGAGCGUUAUCCGGAAUCAUUGGGUUUAAAGGGUCCGUAGGCGGGCAGCUCAGUCAGUGGUGAAAGUUUGCAGCUCAACUGUAAAAUUGCCAUUGAUACUGGUUGUCUUGAAUCAUUAUGAAGUGGUUAGAAUAUGUAGUGUAGCGGUGAAAUGCAUAGAUAUUACAUAGAAUACCAAUUGCGAAGGCAGAUCACUAAUAAUGUAUUGACGCUGAUGGACGAAAGCGUGGGGAGCGAACAGGAUUAGAUACCCUGGUAGUCCACGCCGUAAACGAUGGAUACUAGCUGUUCGAUCUUCGGAUUGAGUGGCUAAGCGAAAGUGAUAAGUAUCCCACCUGGGGAGUACGUUCGCAAGAAU